AGUAAGGUGCCUGAUAAAAGGAUAAUCUUGAUAGGAUUAAUUAUGUGACCCACCCACUCUUACUA
Molecule: transfer RNA, 65 nt
Filed under: Moechotypa diphysis
Lineage: Eukaryota; Metazoa; Arthropoda; Insecta; Coleoptera; Cerambycidae
Description: tRNA-Ile
Source: RNAcentral